GGCGAGUGGUUACUGCAGUCUAUCAGUGUGGCCCCGUUGGUGGCUAGGUUGGGCACCGUGGCUGCUGGGCGCUGGGAGUCUGAUGCAUAGCGCCGCGAUGCCACCAUCUGUUUUGCGCAAGCGUUCCCUGUCCCCUCGGGGUGCUGGUUCGUGCGCGCGCACGGAGCGGCGGGAAGAGGGGUCGCAAGAGUGGGACCAGCCGGCCUGGACGUCCCACCGGCUGUACCUGGCUUACCCAGACCAGACCCCCUCCUUCUAGGGUAUUGUUUCCACCUCCUGUCCUGUCCUCCAGUGUGAGGCCUGAUGGGAUCGAAUGUCAGGCAGACCUAAGUGACGAUGGGGUUUGGCGUGAAGCAGACCUGGGUUUGAAUCAGAGAUCUUGGACAGAAUCUUUCUGCUCUCUGGGUUUCAGUUUCCUCCAGAACAGCUGCUUCAGGAUGCCCUUGUGAGCAGAAACCGAAGUGACAUCUGCAGAGCAGAUGGCCUGGCAGUUACCAUUCUGUUUCCAUGAGUUCAGCUGUUUCAAGUUCCACAUUCUCAUGAAGCAAAGCCAGGAUAUCCUUUGAAUGGAUAUUCUUCUCAGUCUAGCCUGAUCUUACAGUUAGUGAUAAACACCUAAAGCCAGACUCAAGAAAGAAUUAUUAGUGAAGCUUAACAUCAAAGAGCAUGCAUUCACAAGUGAAUACAACAAAGUUAUGUAUUGCAAACACUGUUUAUAAUAGCCAAAGAAUGGAACUUUCCAAAUACCCAUCAACAG
Molecule: long non-coding RNA, 757 nt
Organism: Prionailurus viverrinus (fishing cat)
Lineage: Eukaryota; Metazoa; Chordata; Mammalia; Carnivora; Felidae
Exons: 5
Source: RefSeq, a predicted model, not a curated record